This 714-nucleotide long non-coding RNA is filed under the name Ananas comosus (pineapple). RNAcentral describes it as "long non-coding RNA (ACOM_LNC031923)". The record is from RNAcentral. Lineage: Eukaryota; Viridiplantae; Streptophyta; Magnoliopsida; Poales; Bromeliaceae.
GAUAGUAUCAAGCCCUUGGUACUAUUGAGUUUCUACCAUUAUAUAUACCCUUUGAUCAUUCAGCCGUUAGAUUAUACUAUUAAAUCAACUAUCUACUCAACCCUAGAGGACCACUAUUAAUUUAACCGGAGACCACUAUCAUCCCUAAACCGCAUCCUUUCAUUCAACGGCCGAAAACUCAAUAGUAGCCGAACUCUCUCUCUCUCUCAUAGUAGCCGGCUAUUAUACUUUUAUGAGUAUGAUCGCCCCUCGUACUCAUAAGUUGUUUUCAAUGAUAGAGCUUCCGAAUCAACGAUCCACACCGUUAAACGUUAUUUACAGCAUUUAAAAUUCUAGAAAUCAAAUUUAUAAUUUUUCGACAUCAUUCACUUUUACGAUCAAGAUGUCACAAAUUUGACAAUUUUUAACGAGACGGUAUAGGAUACUUGCUAGUUUAACGGUGUAAAAAGAAUCAGAAAUUUGUUGAAUUUUUUGAUAAAAUUCUAUCACUACAUAGAUAAAGAAUAAUACUCCGAUCUUGAAUUGAAGGAUCCGAUCAUCCUUCUUGGACGUCGUUCGAUUUUGACCGUUCAUUUUAUGCCCACGUGAUGGACUUAUUAUGAUUUCGAAAAUUUCCGAUAUUUAUUUUUUAGAAAUUUCAAAUACUUUAAAUCAUAUUUAACGGAGUGGAUCGUCGAUUCGGAAGCUCCAACAUUGAAAAUAACUUAUGAGUAC